ACGGAAGGCAGCAGUGGGGGAUAUUGCACAAUGGGGGAAACCCUGAUGCAGCGACGCCGCGUGAGUGAAGAAGUAUUUCGGUAUGUAAAGCUCUUUAAGCUGGAAAGAUAAUGACGGUACCAGCAGAAUAAGCCCCGGCUAACUACGUGCCAGCAGCCGCGGUAAUACGUAGGGGGCAAGCGUUAUCCGGAUUUACUGGGUGUAAAGGGAGCGUAGACGGUUUGGCAAGUCUGAAGUGAAAUGCGGGGGCUCAACUCCUGAACUGCUUUGGAAACUGUCGAACUAGAGUGCAGGAGAGGUAAGUGGAAUUCCUAGUGUAGCGGUGAAAUGCGUAGAUAUUAGGAGGAACACCAGUGGCGAAGGCGGCUUACUGGACUGUAACUGACGUUGAGGCUCGAAAGCGUGGGGAGCAAACAGGAUUAGAUACCCUGGUA
This 434-nucleotide ribosomal RNA is filed under the name uncultured Lachnospiraceae bacterium. Its description in RNAcentral is "bacterial SSU rRNA". It matches the Rfam family "Bacterial small subunit ribosomal RNA", at positions 341 to 792 of the family's 1533-position model. Lineage: Bacteria; Bacillati; Bacillota; Clostridia; Lachnospirales; Lachnospiraceae. The record is from RNAcentral.